GGGGGUGAACGGUCUCGACGGGGGUCGCCGAAGGCAGGUGGCGUGCCGAGGUGCGGGUGGCCUCGUAAAAACCCGCGCGGCAAUAACUGCCAACAAGCAGCUCGCUCUCGCGGCCUAAGUCCGCGACCUCGCCCGGUAGCCCUGCCGGAGGCUCACGGUAGCGGGGACACAAGUCCGGCUAGCCAAGGCUUAGGCCCCGUAACCCAAGGCGAAAGUAAACGGGGCUUGCCCCUGGCCGCUUGCUCCCGGGCCAAGCCAGGGGGACUUCCAAAGCGGGGGCUACGCACGUAGAAGCUCGCCGUAGGGACCUUCGGACGGGGGUUCGACUCCCCCCACCUCCACCA
RNAcentral lists this transfer-messenger RNA (344 nucleotides) under Thermus sp. It matches the Rfam family "transfer-messenger RNA". From Rfam's summary of the family: Bacterial tmRNA, also known as 10Sa RNA or SsrA, is named for its dual tRNA and mRNA-like properties. Its role is to liberate the mRNA from a stalled ribosome. Lineage: Bacteria; Thermotogati; Deinococcota; Deinococci; Thermales; Thermaceae. The record is from RNAcentral.